GAUGAAGGCCCUAGGGUUUGUAAAGCUCUUUUAGCAGGGAAGAUAAUGACGGUACCUGCAGAAAAAGCCCCGGCUAACUUCGUGCCAGCAGCCGCGGUAAUACGAAGGGGGCUAGCGUUGCUCGGAAUUACUGGGCGUAAAGCGCACGUAGGCGGCUUCUUAAGUCGAUGGUGAAAUCCUGGAGCUCAACUCCAGAACUGCCUUCGAUACUGGGGAGCUAGAGUCCGGGAGAGGUGAGUGGAACUGCGAGUGUAGAGGUGAAAUUCGUAGAUCUUCGCAAGAACACCAGUGGCGAAGGCGGUCACUGGCCCGGUACUGACGCUGAGGUGCGAAAGCGUGGGGAGCCAACAGGAUUAGAUACCCUGGUAGUCCUAGCUGU
Molecule: ribosomal RNA, 379 nt
Filed under: uncultured bacterium
Lineage: Bacteria
Description: bacterial SSU rRNA
Rfam family: Bacterial small subunit ribosomal RNA
Source: RNAcentral